RNAcentral lists this unclassified non-coding RNA (221 nucleotides) under plant metagenome. RNAcentral describes it as "partial contains small subunit ribosomal RNA, internal transcribed spacer 1, and 5.8S ribosomal RNA". The record is from RNAcentral.
UUUCCGUUGGUGAACCAGCGGAAGGAUCAUUACUGAGAUCAUGCCCUUAACGGGGUAGACCUCCCACCCUGUGUUAUUACGAUUGUUGCCUUGGCAGGCCGCCCUCGGGCGCUCGGCUUCGGCUGAGGCGUGCCUGCCAGAAGACCCAAACCCUGUAUUUAGUGUUGUCCGAGUACUAUUUUAAUACGUUAAAACUUUCAACAACGGAUCUCUUGGUUCUG